Molecule: RNase P RNA, 297 nt
Filed under: Lachnospiraceae bacterium
Lineage: Bacteria; Bacillati; Bacillota; Clostridia; Lachnospirales; Lachnospiraceae
Description: partial RNase P RNA component class A
Rfam family: Bacterial RNase P class A
About the family: Ribonuclease P (RNase P) is a ubiquitous endoribonuclease, found in archaea, bacteria and eukarya as well as chloroplasts and mitochondria. Its best characterised activity is the generation of mature 5'-ends of tRNAs by cleaving the 5'-leader elements of precursor-tRNAs.
Source: RNAcentral
CGGGCUUCACAGGGCAGGAUGCCGGAUAACGUCCGGUGGAGGUGACUCCAAGGCCAGUGCAACAGAAAUAAACCGCCGGAGACGAAGGGUUUCCGGUAAGGGUGGAAAGGCAGUGUAAGAGACUACCGCCCGGCUGGUAACAGGCGGGGCACAUGUAAACCCCAUCCGAAGCAAGACCAAGCAGAAGCAUAUGGCGGCCCGUCAGCUUCAGGUAGGUCGCUUGAGCGUAUCGGCAACGAUACGCCUAGAUAGAUGAUUGUCCAACGACAUAACCCGGCUUAUCGUUUUGCUUGCUGU